Molecule: long non-coding RNA, 378 nt
Organism: Gossypium arboreum
Lineage: Eukaryota; Viridiplantae; Streptophyta; Magnoliopsida; Malvales; Malvaceae
Exons: 3
Source: RefSeq, a predicted model, not a curated record
CAAAUGGUCAUCUUCUCCAUAUGGAGGCCGAAAUUAGCAUGGGGGAAGCCAUGGCUAGGGUUUUCAAGCUUUCCAAGCUUAACAAUCAAGAAAAACGAUAUUCAAGUCGUGAUCGAGGGAAAAACAAAGUUUACAAGGAAUAGGCCUGAUUGCUAAUAUUUUGUAUCGAGUGUUGUCAGGUUAGCUCAGGGUUCGAGAUCGUCGGAGGCAGCAUCACACCUUGACAGUAUAAACACAUAUGCUAGAUUUAUCAAGUGAGUGGCAUGUAUAGGGACCUAAUUUUAUAACAUGUGUUAUUAUUAUUUGGCCAAAUAUAUUGGUCUUUAGUGAGCUACUGAUUCUGACUUAUAAAUCUAGCUAUUUAUGUUAUGUUUGAUA